RNA transcript from Microtus oregoni (creeping vole), 6883 nucleotides. It is a transcript of the gene named natural killer cell triggering receptor, with no coding region annotated. The record is from RefSeq and is a predicted model, not a curated record. The transcript has 18 exons. NCBI's taxonomy places the organism in Eukaryota, Metazoa, Chordata, Mammalia, Rodentia, Cricetidae.
CUCGCGAGCUUUACCUCCAGUCUCGCGAGCCUUGGCGUGGCACUGGGUGGCUGGCCCCGGCCCUGAGGAGGUGGCGUUCCGUUGGUGACGUUGGGCUCCGGCGGCGCCGGCAGGGCGUUCUCCUUCGCUGACCCGGAGCUGUGCGGCCAGCUCCCGCCGCCGCCGCCGAGCUCGCGAUGGGCGCCCAGGACCGGCCGCAGUGCCACUUCGACAUCGAGAUCAACCGAGAACCGGUUGGUCGAAUUAUGUUUCAGCUCUUCUCAGACAUAUGUCCAAAAACAUGCAAAAACUUCCUAUGCCUGUGCUCAGGAGAGAAAGGCCUUGGGAAAACAACUGGGAAGAAGUUAUGUUAUAAAGGUUCUACAUUCCACCGUGUGGUUAAAAACUUUAUGAUUCAGGGUGGGGACUUCAGUGAAGGUAACGGAAAAGGUGGAGAAUCAAUUUAUGGUGGAUACUUUAAAGAUGAAAACUUUAUUCUCAAACAUGACAGAGCGUUCCUUUUGUCAAUGGCAAAUCGAGGGAAACAUACCAAUGGUUCCCAGUUUUUCAUAACUACAAAGCCUGCUCCACACCUGGAUGGGGUUCAUGUUGUGUUUGGACUGGUUAUUUCCGGUUUUGAAGUAAUUGAACAGAUUGAAAAUCUGAAAACGGAUGCUGCGAGCAGACCUUAUGCAGAUGUCCGAGUUAUUGACUGUGGGGUGCUUGCCACAAAGUUGACAAAAGAUGUUUUUGGGAAAAAAAGGAAGAAGCCAACACAUUCAGAAGACUCGGAUUCUUCUUCCAGUUCCUCUUCCUCUUCAGAAUCAUCCUCAGAAAGUGGAGUUGAGGAAGAGAGAAUCAGAAGGAGGAGACACAAGAGAAGGCCCAAAGUCAGACACACUAAAAAGAGACGGAAGGAGAUGAGCUGUUCAGAGGAGCCCAGGAGGAAGCGCACAGUGAGCCCUGAAGGUUAUUCUGAGAGGAGUGAUGUGAAUGAGAAAAGAUCAAGUGAUUCAAAUGCUAAAAGAGAAAAGCCAGUUGUCCGUCCGGAAGAGAUUCCUCCAGUUCCCGAGAACCGAUUUCUACUUAGAAGAGAUAUGCCUGCUGUCACAGUGGAGCCUGAACCGAACAUUCCAGAUGUCGCACCUGUUCCGAGUGAUCAGAAACCAUCUGUGUCAAAGUCUGGACGGAAAAUUAGAGGAAGAGGCACAAUUCGCUAUCACACACCUCCACGGUCAAGAUCUCAUUCUGAGUCUGAAGAUGAUGACAGCAGUGAGACUCCUCCUCACUGGAAGGAGGAGAUGCAGAGACUGAGAGCUUACAGGCCACCAAGCGGAGAAAAGUGGAGCAAAGGAGACAAGCUAAGUGAUCCCUGUUCAAGCCGAUGGGAUGAAAGAAGCUUGUCCCAGAGAUCCAGAUCAUGGUCCUAUAAUGGAUACUAUUCAGAUCUUAGUACAGCAAGACACUCUGAUGGUCACCACAAGAAACACAGAAAGGUAAAGAAGUUUAAGCAUAAAAAAAAAGCUAAAAAGCAGAAGCAUUGCAGAAGACACAGACAGACAAAGAAGAAAAGAUUAGUAAUGCCACCUGACUCGGAACCCUCAAGAUCUGCCACCUACCGAAUGAAGUCCUCUUGUGACAGAGAAAGGAGACCCCGUGCCUCCUCCUCCUCCUCCUCUCGCCACUCCUCAAAGCGGGCCUGGUCUAGAUCAGACAAGGACGACCGGAGCUCCUCAACCCACUCCAGCAGAGACUCCUAUAGAUCCAAGUCUCAUUCACCAUCGGAUUCUAGAGGGAGCUCUAGAUCAAGGGCUUUGUCAAAGUCCUCAUCACGUUCUCACGACAGAUCCCAGUCCAGAUCUAGUUCCAGGUCAGAACCCCGGAGGACAGCAUCAAACUCACCAAAACAGCAUGCUCCGUUAAGUGAAAAUAAGCCAGCUAAGGCAGAACCUUUAAGAUCAUCGAUGCCACAGAAUGGAAAUGUGCUGGUACAGCCAGUGGCUGCAGAAAACAUUCCUGUAAUACCUUUGAGUGACAGCCCUCCCCCUUCUAGAUGGAAGCCUGGACAGAAGCCCUGGAAGCCCUCCUAUGAGCGAAUUCAGGAGAUAAAGGCUAAAACAACUCACUUGCUGCCUGUUCAGAGUACAUACAGUUUAACAAAUAUUAAAGAAACUGGGAGUUCAUCAUCCUAUCACAAAAGAGAAAAAAAUUCAGAAAGCGAUGGGAGCGCUUAUUCAAAGUACAGUGACAGAAGUUCUGGGAGCUCAGUAAGGUCAGGGGGCAAGUCUUCUAGGAGCCGGUCAUACUCUAGGUCAUACACAAGGUCAAGGUCACGGAGUCCACGGACUUCACGAUCACGAUCUAGGUCUCCAUCAUCUAGGUCUCACUCACAAAUGAAGUAUAGUGAUGGUUCCCACCGCAGCAGGUCGUCUUCAUACACUUCUGUCAGCAGUGAUGGGGGAAGUCGAGCCACAAGGAGGACGUUUAGAUCCCAUGGGGAAAAAAGCAUCACUUCAAAUAAAAGACACCACGGCAGCUCAAAGAAGAUACUUCACAGUAAAUAUGUCAAAGGCAGAGAGAAGUCUUCAUGUCACAGAAAGUAUAGUGAAAGUAGAUCAUCUGUGGAUUAUUCUUCGGACAGUGAACAGUCACAUGUUGAGUUAGUGCACUUGGCCCUAGAGAAGGAGAAACAGGGGAAAACAGAAGUAUUGAAUGAUAAGCAGGGGAAAAGCAAAGAAGAAGGGAAGGGCAAGCCAGAAUGGGAAAAGAGGCCUUUGAAAGAGAGUCUGUCUGAUCACUCUAGAGAUGGCAGUAGGUCCAAAGGGAAGAACUGUGCUGGGAGCAAAUGGGACUCUGAAUCAAACUCUGAACAAGAUGUGACUAAGAGCAGGAAAAGUAAUCCCCAGAGAUGUUCUGAUAAGGAGGAGGGCGAAGCCUCUUCCGACUCUGAGUCAGAAGUUGGCCAGAGUCACAUCAAAGCUAAACCCCCAGCAAAGCCUUCAGCAAACACUUCUCUGCCUGACAGUAAUGGUGCCUGGAAGUCUAGGAGACCACAGUCUUCAGCUUCUGAGUCAGAGGGCUCCUGCUCCAACUUGGGAAAUGUUAGAGCAGAGCCCCAGAAACAGAAAUGCCCAAAGGAUAGUUUUAAAGGGGAUCACACAAAAAAAGUGAGAGAGAAAUUGAAAGCCAAAAAAGACAAAAAACACAAGGCUCCAAAGCGGAAGCAAGCCUUUCACUGGCAGCCUCCACUGGAGUUUGGUGACGAGGAGGAGGAGGAGAUGAAUGGAAAGCAAGUUACACAGGAGCCAGAAGGAAAAAAGCACAUCUCUGAGAAGUGUGAAACUUUGAAAGACAGUAUUCCAAAAAUUAAGAAACCCUGUGAUGAAGGCAGUGGUCCCAGUAAUCCUAAGAAGGGUACUUCAGAGCACAACCCACUUGCGGAGGGGGAUCGCCAUCCCAGCUCUUGCCCUGCACCUCUGACAGUGGAGGAGAAUACCACCAGCUCUCCUGGCGCCCAGCACAUUGAAGAGCGUGUCCCAGCUGGAGGGGAGGAUGUGCUUCAGACAGAUGACAACAUGGAGAUCUGUACCCCUGAUAGGAGUUCCCCUGCAAAAGGAGAGGGGUUGUCCCCAUUAGCAAACCGCAAGCUGGACAGCCCAGAAGGGAGCAUUAUUCCAGAGCAGGUUGAGCACAUAGCACAGCCCAGAGCAGGAGGGAAACAAGAAAACAUUGUGUCUGAGAGUAAAACCUCAAGUGAAGGUGGGAAACAGGACAGCUCUGCCAGUUUGGCCAGUCCUGUAGAAAUUUCUGGAAAGAAGGAGGGGCCUGAGAAAAGCCAGAUGAACCUCACAGAUAAGUGGAAGCCAUUGCAAGGUAUAGGAAAUGUGAUGUCUACUGCAGCCAUGUCCAGUGCUCUGGAUGUGAAGCCAUUGGCUCCUGUUACUGAAGUGAAACCACAAGGCUUGAGAAUAGAAAUCAAAAGCAAAAAUAAAGUUCGGCCCGGGUCUCUCUUUGAUGAAGUAAGAAAGACGGCACGCUUAAACCGGAGGCCACGGAAUCAAGAGAGUUCCAGUGAUGAGCAGACACCUAGUCGGGAUGGUAAUAGCCAGUCCAGGAGUCCACACAGAUCUCGAAGUAAAUCUGAAACCAAAUCUCGACACAGAACAAGGUCUGUCUCCUAUAGUCACUCGAGAAGUCGAUCCAGGAGUUCCACGUCAUCUUACCGAUCAAGGAGCUACUCCAGAAGCCGGAGCAGAGGCUGGUACAGCAGAGGCCGGACCCGCAGCCGGAGCAGUUCCUAUGGAAGUUUCCGUAGCCACAGGACAUCCAGCAGGAGCAGGUCCAGGAGCAGCUCCUAUGACCCCCACAGUCGCUCCAGAAAAGAAAUUAACAUUUUUCUCUUUAACAUGAUCCUACACUUAUGAUAGCUACUACAGCCGGAGUCGCAGCCACAGCCGCAGCCAGAGGAGUGACAGUUAUCAUCGAGGGAGAAGUUACAACAGGCGGUCCAGGAGCGGUAGAUCCUAUGGCUCGGACAGUGAAAGUGAUAGAAGUUACUCUCGUCACCGGAGCCCCAGCGAGAGCAGCAGAUACAGCUGAGGCCUCCUUGUACAGAGACUGUAUCUUACUGUAAAUACCUGGUAACUUAAAGCUGGAGAAACUGGAUGGCCGUCUGUUGUGUGUCAGUAUUAGAGCUCAAAUCCAACAGUGGAUAUUUCUUGUCACUUAUUUACAUGUGUGCAGAAAAAUUUAAAAGUGCAGAUGUCAACUACAAAUAUUUUUAUGCCCCAUUUUACAGUAGACAACUAUGGAAUUUUCAUUUUCUUGAAUCAAGAAUUGAUGUAGGUAUCAUUUGCAGUGUUACUUUAGAUGGAGUGUUUUUGUAGCUCACACAGUCCAUAGAAUUCAGGUCAGUGCUUUCAGGUUUUAGCAUCCAUGCUGCCAAACAGAAUUGUGGAGAGCUGUCACAGCUACACGUUCCUAUGUCCCCAGCUGGUUAUAGUCUUGUUUGUGUGUGCUGUCAAAUCAGGCCAUCCACAUCGUAUUGACUAUGGCCAGUUGUGCAGGGUGGUGGCUCAUGCUACCAUGUCUGCCUUUCCACAGAGACUGCCACCUCGGUGCUUGGUGCCUUUGGUUCCUCCUGUACCUUCCUUCAUACACUACGUGUCCUGAUGCCAGAAGAUAGAAUCAUGACUUUUUUUAAUUCACUGGCACCAAAAAUUACUUCUUCUGAGCUGGGCUCACUGAGUGUGGAGCUUCCCAACAGUUAUGUGGUGGCGGUCUCUUGGACAGAGCCUGCACGGUUGGCCAUUUUGUUUUGCACCCGUGUACUAGAAGAGCCAACUGGAGAGUGGACUUUGAGAAGCAACUCCAGUCUUUAGUUAGCACACCCAGAGAGUUUAGCAACAACCAGCCUCUCCCUAUUGUGUUGAGACCCCCCACUGACUCUGUGAAGCCCUGCCUGACCUGAGGAAACCCAGGACAAGAUUUGGGGGCAGAAGGAUCACAAGCUGCUGCACAGAGAGAUGUUCCUGUGGUUUUGCGUGGUUCCUCCAAAAAUAAUUUAACCUGUAAAAACUAGUUUGAGUUUGUUUGUUUUACUCUUUACUUUGCAUUCUUUCCCCAAGUGUACUUAAUCACCUUAGUGCCGGUUUAAUCCUGUUCACAGAAAGAAUUCCUGUGUAUGUUGUCCAUGAAGUCUAUACCAUCCAAUCCCAGGCCUUGCUGGUGAAUUUGGGAAGAAGAUUCCUGGCCUGAUGGAGGGAGGCACUGAAUUAUGAAAAUGGUCUUCCAGGGCAUGUGGCUCAAUGUACUAGCAUGUGCUUGGCAUGUAAUGAUGCUCUGGGGUCAGUGACCAGCACUCCAAAAAUCAAUUAUGCUGACACUCUUAGAGGUGGCCAGCCGUGGUCCAACACACCAGUAAGUGUGUGAGUUCAUCAGAAGACAGAGUAACAUCAGCAGUCAGUGCUUGGCUAGUGAAAGUUAAACAUGCAGUUUAUAGUGGGAUUUUUUUCUAAAAGUUUCCUACAAAAAAGGAUGUUUGAAUGUACUAGUUGGUGAGAAGAAUGCAUUCAGAACCCAAACAAACUGCCAAAUGGAGUUAGUAAGGAAGGGUCACUGUUGAACAAUGUCGUAUUGUUUUGUAGCUGUGUGACAAACUAUUCCAAGUCCCGCAGCCUAGACCAGUGUCCGUGCACCAUUGAUUCUCAACUGUACAGCCAUGGCUAGGCAUGGUGGGGCAGUCUCAGGACUGUGGCUGAGGGCUGGAAGACGCAUCCCUCAUGAAGACUCUGAAAAGGACUAACUUUCUUGUGGGCUCCUUUGAGGCUGCCCACAUCCCUGCCCCAGGCCUUGCUGUCUUCAGCCAGCAGGAAUCCUUUGUCUUUCUUCAAAACUUCUGCCUUCCUCCUGUGUAAAGGGUCCAUAUGACUAGAUCAAACCAGAUCAGAGAUCAGUCUCCAUCUGCAGUCCAGUGGUCAAAGGAGUUGUGGGCAUUGGCAGGUUCUGGGGGUUGGCAUGGGAAGAGGCAGGGCAUGCCACCUACUGCCGCCACGACAGGGCUUAACCUAUCCAGGCAGCUCUCAUCUUCAGCAGUGUGGGCCUGGCUGUUUACACUCAAGUGAACUACAAAAAUGGCUUUUCUUCCUAACCAGGAUCAUUCUGUAUUUUUGAAGUUAUUUUUUUAAUAAAAUUGAAUUACGUUGUGUAAUGUGCUUAAUAGAAAAUGCUUUAUUGGACAGUUUUGUAACAUCCUGUUUACUGCAAAUGGCAUAGUUGAUAUUGUCAAAAAUGUAGAAAAGACUUUUGUACAUACUAGCAGUGUCUAAUUUGUAUAUACAUCGAUUUAAUUUCCCUACAACUCAAAAAGGAUCUUGUAGAAAUGAAAAUACAUGCUAACUUUGAG